Molecule: non-coding RNA, 29 nt
Filed under: Rattus norvegicus (Norway rat)
Lineage: Eukaryota; Metazoa; Chordata; Mammalia; Rodentia; Muridae
Source: RNAcentral
AGAGAUUCCAAACAACUUGCCAGAGAAAU